AGGAUUCCCCUAGUAACUGCGAGUGAAGCGGGAAAAGCUCAAAUUUAAAAUCUGGCGGUCUUUGGCUGUCCGAGUUGUAAUCUAGAGAAGUGUUAUCCGCGUUGGACCGUGUACAAGUCUCCUGGAAUGGAGCGUCAUAGAGGGUGAGAAUCCCGUCUUUGACACGGACUGCCAAGGCUUUGUGAUGCGCUCUCAAAGAGUCGAGUUGUUUGGGAAUGCAGCUCAAAAUGGGUGGUAAAUUCCAUCUAAAGCUAAAUAUUGGCGAGAGACCGAUAGCGAACAAGUACCGUGAGGGAAAGAUGAAAAGAACUUUGGAAAGAGAGUUAAACAGUACGUGAAAUUGCUGAAAGGGAAACGCUUGAAGUCAGUCGCGUUGUCCAGGGAUCAACCUUGCUUUUGCUUGGUGCACUUUCUGGUUGACGGGUCAGCAUCAAUUUUGACCAUUGGAAAAAGAUUAGGGGAAUGUGGCAUCUUCGGAUGUGUUAUAGCCCUUGGUUGCAUACAAUGAUUGGGAUUGAGGAACUCAGCACGCCGCAAGGCCGGGUUUUUAACCACGUACGUGCUUAGGAUGCUGGCAUAAUGGCUUUAAUCGACCCGUCUUGAAACACGGACCAAGGAGUCUAACAUGCCUGCGAGUGUUUGGGUGGAAAACCCGAGCGCGUAAUGAAAGUGAAAGUUGAGAUCCCUGUCGUGGGGAGCAUCGACGCCCGGACCAGACCUUUUGUGACGGUUCCGCGGUAGAGCAUGUAUGUUGGGACCCGAAAGAUGGUGAACUAUGCCUGAAUAGGGUGAAGCCAGAGGAAACUCUGGUGGAGGCUCGUAGCGAUUCUGACGUGCAAAUCGAUCGUCAAAUUUGGGUAUAGGG
This 865-nucleotide ribosomal RNA is filed under the name Cortinarius rufus. Its description in RNAcentral is "eukaryotic LSU rRNA". It matches the Rfam family "Eukaryotic large subunit ribosomal RNA", at positions 71 to 922 of the family's 3401-position model. The record is from RNAcentral. Lineage: Eukaryota; Fungi; Basidiomycota; Agaricomycetes; Agaricales; Cortinariaceae.